GCUACCUACGGGACGCAGCAGUGAGGAAUAUUGGUCAACGGGCGCAAGCCUGAACCAGCCAAGUCGCGUGAGGGAUGACGGUCCUAUGGAUUGUAAACCUCUUUUGUCGGGGAGCAAGGCCCGCCACGUGUGGCGGGAAGGAGAGUACCCGAAGAAAAAGCAUCGGCUAACUCCGUGCCAGCAGCCGCGGUAAUACGGAGGAUGCGAGCGUUAUCCGGAUUUAUUGGGGUUAAAGGGUGCGUAGGCGGAAGGGUAAGUCAGCGGUCAAAUGUCGGUGCUCAACACCGGCCUGCCGGUGAAACUGG
Molecule: ribosomal RNA, 305 nt
Filed under: uncultured bacterium
Lineage: Bacteria
Description: bacterial SSU rRNA
Rfam family: Bacterial small subunit ribosomal RNA
Source: RNAcentral